RNAcentral lists this non-coding RNA (31 nucleotides) under Mus musculus (house mouse). Lineage: Eukaryota; Metazoa; Chordata; Mammalia; Rodentia; Muridae. The record is from RNAcentral. RNAcentral also lists the same sequence under 1 other name.
UGAAAUGUAAUUUUACAGAGUUAUUGUCAGG